AUUGAACGCUGGCGGCAUGCCUAACACAUGCAAGUCGAACGGUAACAGGCCUUCGGGCGCUGACGAGUGGCGGACGGGUGAGUAAUGCAUAGGAAAUUGCCUUGAAGUGGGGGAUAGCCCGGAGAAAUCCGGAUUAAUACCGCAUAUGCUCUACGGAGCAAAGUGGGCCUCUGAUUUAAGCUCAUGCUUUGAGAUAUGCCUAUGUCGGAUUAGCUUGUUGGUGGGGUAAAAGCCUACCAAGGCGACGAUCCGUAGCUGGUUUGAGAGGAUGAUCAGCCACACUGGGACUGAGACACGGCCCAGACUCCUACGGGAGGCAGCAGUGGGGAAUAUUGGACAAUGGGCGCAAGCCUGAUCCAGCAAUGCCGCGUGUGUGAAGAAGGCCUGCGGGUUGUAAAGCACUUUUAUCGGGAAAGAAAUCC
This 422-nucleotide ribosomal RNA is filed under the name uncultured bacterium. Its description in RNAcentral is "bacterial SSU rRNA". It matches the Rfam family "Bacterial small subunit ribosomal RNA", at positions 30 to 453 of the family's 1533-position model. The record is from RNAcentral.